This 468-nucleotide ribosomal RNA is filed under the name uncultured bacterium. Its description in RNAcentral is "partial 16S ribosomal RNA". It matches the Rfam family "Bacterial small subunit ribosomal RNA", at positions 28 to 507 of the family's 1533-position model. The record is from RNAcentral.
GACGAACGCUGGCGGCGUGCUUAACACAUGCAAGUCGAACGGAAAGGCCCUGCUUUUGUGGGGUGCCCGAGUGGCGAACGGGUGAGUAACACGUGAGUAACCUGCCCUUGACUUUGGGAUAACUUCAGGAAACUGGGGCUAAUACCGGACAGGAGCUCCUGCUGCAUGGUGGGGGUUGGAAAGUUUCGGCGGUUGGGGUUGGACUCGCGGAUUAUCAGCUAGUUGGUGGGGUAGUGGCUUACCAAGGCUGUGACGGGUAGCCGGCCUGAGAGGGUGACCGGCCACAUUGGGACUGAGAGACGGCCCAGACUCCAACGGGAGGCAGCAGUGGGGAAUAUUGCACAAUGAGCGGAAGCCUGAUGCAGCAACGCCGCGUGCGGGAUGACGGCCUUCGGGUUGUAAACCGCUUUCGCCUGUGACGAAGCGUGAGUGACGGUAAUGGGUAAAGAAGCACCGGCUAACUACGUG